GUUUUCGUGGCCUAGUGGUUAGGGCGUCUGUCUUACAUCUUCGAAGUGAUCACAGAAGAUCCCCGGUUCGAUCCCGGGCGAGAACA
Non-coding RNA from Nemania sp. FL0031, 86 nucleotides. The record is from the annotation of a GenBank genome assembly. NCBI's taxonomy places the organism in Eukaryota, Fungi, Ascomycota, Sordariomycetes, Xylariales, Xylariaceae.